This 486-nucleotide ribosomal RNA is filed under the name Enterococcus durans. RNAcentral describes it as "bacterial SSU rRNA". It matches the Rfam family "Bacterial small subunit ribosomal RNA", at positions 28 to 485 of the family's 1533-position model. Lineage: Bacteria; Bacillati; Bacillota; Bacilli; Lactobacillales; Enterococcaceae. The record is from RNAcentral.
GACGAACGCUGGCGGCGUGCCUAAUACAUGCAAGUCGUACGCUUCUUUUUCCACCGGAGCUUGCUCCACCGGAAAAAGAAGAGUGGCGAACGGGUGAGUAACACGUGGGUAACCUGCCCAUCAGAAGGGGAUAACACUUGGAAACAGGUGCUAAUACCGUAUAACAAUCGAAACCGCAUGGUUUUGAUUUGAAAGGCGCUUUCGGGUGUCGCUGAUGGAUGGACCCGCGGUGCAUUAGCUAGUUGGUGAGGUAACGGCUCACCAAGGCCACGAUGCAUAGCCGACCUGAGAGGGUGAUCGGCCACAUUGGGACUGAGACACGGCCCAAACUCCUACGGGAGGCAGCAGUAGGGAAUCUUCGGCAAUGGACGAAAGUCUGACCGAGCAACGCCGCGUGAGUGAAGAAGGUUUUCGGAUCGUAAAACUCUGUUGUUAGAGAAGAACAAGGAUGAGAGUAACUGUUCAUCCCUUGACGGUAUCUAACCA